Clarias gariepinus (North African catfish) is the source of this 409-nucleotide long non-coding RNA. RefSeq lists it as uncharacterized. The transcript has 3 exons. The record is from RefSeq and is a predicted model, not a curated record. Lineage: Eukaryota; Metazoa; Chordata; Actinopteri; Siluriformes; Clariidae.
CAUGUCACAAGCGUUUCGUGCCGAACGUAAGCAGUCAUAAUCAUCUUUUAUCUCAUACAGUGAGCAUUCACUGGGGUAACAUUGGAGCAGCGUGAGGAGCGAGUUGACCACACACUCUGUUUUCAGCUUAUACAGCACACAUACGUCUCAUGUCUUUGGACUGUGGGAGAAAACCAGAGUACCUGGAGGAAACUCACCAAACAUGCAAACUCCACUCACACAGCCCCGAGGCUGGAAUAGAACUCUUGACCUGGGAAAUGCAAGGCGAUUGAACUAACCAGUAGUUAUGUCACCACCGUGUCACAAGCGUUUCGUGCCAAACGUAAGCAGUCAUAAUCAUCUUUUAUCUCAUACAGUGAGCAUUCACUGAGGUAACAUUGGAGCAGCGUGAGGAGCGAGUUGACCACAC